GCGGAGGAAAAGAAACUAACCAGGAUUGUCUCAGUAAGGGCGACUGAAGCGACAAUAGCCCCAUUGUGAAUCAGCGGCUGAAUUGUGGUUCCAUUAGUGCAAAGCAGGGCCAAGUCCGUUGGAACACGGCAGCUGAGAGGGUGAGACUCCCGUUUGCCUUUGCUUUGGAGCCGACGAAAUGGAGUCGAGUUGUUUGGGAUUGCAGCUCUAAGCGGGUGGUAAAUUCCACCGAAGGCUAAAUACUGGUGGGAGACCGAUAGCGUACAAGUACCGUGAGGGAAAGAUGCAAAGACACGCGAAAGCGUUGUUAAAGAGUACCUGAACUUGCUGAAACGGAAGCGAAGGAAACCAGUGCCAGCUGCGUCAUACUUCCCACCCUGCUUGCGGUGUGGGCGCUGUGUCCAGCGUCGUCCUUCUUGGUUGGUCGUUGUGGAAGAGCCCUGUGC
RNAcentral lists this ribosomal RNA (446 nucleotides) under Halamphora pseudohyalina. RNAcentral's name for it is "eukaryotic LSU rRNA". It matches the Rfam family "Eukaryotic large subunit ribosomal RNA", at positions 50 to 532 of the family's 3401-position model. Lineage: Eukaryota; Bacillariophyta; Bacillariophyceae; Naviculales; Amphipleuraceae. The record is from RNAcentral.